This 440-nucleotide ribosomal RNA is filed under the name uncultured bacterium. RNAcentral's name for it is "bacterial SSU rRNA". It matches the Rfam family "Bacterial small subunit ribosomal RNA", at positions 28 to 451 of the family's 1533-position model. The record is from RNAcentral.
GACGAACGCUGGCGGCGUGCUUAACACAUGCAAGUCGAACGUGAUUUUUAAGGAAAGCCCUUCGGGGUGGGAAUUAAAAUGAAAGUGGCGAACGGGUGAGUAACACGUGAGCAACCUACCUUACACAGGGGGAUAGCCGUUGGAAACGACGAUUAAUACCGCAUGAGACCACAGAAUCGCAUGAUAUAGGGGUCAAAGAUUUAUCGGUGUAAGAAGGGCUCGCGUCUGAUUAGCUAGUUGGAAGGGUAAAGGCCUACCAAGGCGACGAUCAGUAGCCGGUCUGAGAGGAUGAACGGCCACAUUGGAACUGAGACACGGUCCAAACUCCUACGGGAGGCAGCAGUGGGGAAUAUUGCACAAUAGGGGGAACCCUGAUGCAGCGACGCCGCGUGAGCGAAGAAGGUUUUCGAAUCGUAAAGCUCUGUCCUANGAGAAGAUAA